CAAUAGCGUAUAUUAAAGUUGUUGCAGUUAAAAAGCUCGUAGUUGGACUUCUGGGCUUGUGUUGUGGUCCGCCUCACGGUGAGCACUGCGACAUGGGUCCUUCUUCUUGAAGACUGUGCGUGUCCUUAACUGGGUGUGUACAGGAUUUGAGACCUUUACUUUGAAAAAUUAGAGUGUUCAAAGCAGGCCUUCGCUUGAAUACAUUAGCAUGGAAUAAUGGAAUAGGACUUCUGUUCUAUUUUGUUUGGUUUUCUUAGGACUGAAGUAAUAGAUUAAUAAGGGAGUAGUUGGGGGUCGGAUUAGUAUUUAAUUUAGUUCAGAGGU
RNAcentral lists this ribosomal RNA (324 nucleotides) under uncultured eukaryote. Its description in RNAcentral is "bacterial SSU rRNA". It matches the Rfam family "Eukaryotic small subunit ribosomal RNA", at positions 592 to 912 of the family's 1831-position model. The record is from RNAcentral.